This 375-nucleotide ribosomal RNA is filed under the name Megophrys platyparietus. RNAcentral describes it as "partial small subunit ribosomal RNA". It matches the Rfam family "Bacterial small subunit ribosomal RNA", at positions 853 to 1398 of the family's 1533-position model. The record is from RNAcentral. Lineage: Eukaryota; Metazoa; Chordata; Amphibia; Anura; Megophryidae.
CUUAACUUUGAAUCUUCGCCCGGGAACUACGAGCGUCAGCUUAAAACCCAAAAGACUUGGCGGUGCCCUAUACCACCUAGAGGAGCCUGUUCUAUAAUCGAUAAUCCCCGAUUUACCUCACCAUCUCUUGCCAACACCGUCUGUAUACCUCCGUCACCAACUGACCCCUUGAGGGCAAUAGUCGGUUAAAUGGCCUACCCCCAGUAAGUCAGGUCAAGGUGCAGCGAAUGAGAUGGAAAGCAAUGGGCUACAUUUUCUAUUUUUAGAUUACACGAAAGAUCACUAUGAAAUCUGAUCGGAAGGCGGAUUUAGCAGUAAAAAGAGACUAGAGAGCUCUUUUUAAGCUGGCUCUAGGGCGCGCACACACCGCCCGUC